This 253-nucleotide ribosomal RNA is filed under the name uncultured bacterium. RNAcentral's name for it is "partial 16S ribosomal RNA". It matches the Rfam family "Bacterial small subunit ribosomal RNA", at positions 524 to 776 of the family's 1533-position model. The record is from RNAcentral.
GACGAGCCACACGAACGUUAUUCGGAAUUACUGGGCUUAAAGGGUGCGUAGGCUGCGCGGAAAGUUGGGUGUGAAAUCCCUCGGCUCAACCGAGGAACUGCGCCCAAAACUGCCGUGCUCGAGGAAGAUAGAGGUAAGCGGAACUUACGGUGGAGCGGUGAAAUGCGUAGAUAUCUGGAGGAACACCGGUGGCGAAGGCGGCAUCCUGGACCAACACUGACACUGAGGAGCGAAAGCCAGGGGAGCAAACGGG